UGCACAGCAGCACAGAGACCAGGCAGCAGUGGCAUAAACCCAGAUGGGAACGCCAGUCGUCCCACCUGUGCACAGCAGCACAGAGACCAGGCAGCAGUGGCAUAAACCCGAGAACUACAGUAUGUUCUAAUAGCUAUACCACAUAUCGACAUCGUUUUGGUUAUAAUCACAUCGUAGUGCUAAUAAAUGAUUUAAUGAAAGUUUUAAAUCGUCUCAUGAUUAGAUUUAGAAUAAAGACCUUGUACUGUCUUUUUACAGGGUCUGCAACUUGGGCCCAGAGGCAAAAUGACCAUCACCAAGCCCACCAAACAGCACAUGGCAGAAGGAGGGAUUAGAAGUACACUCUCCAGCACCCUUCUUGGACCUGUCAGUCCUCCAGAUAGAAGAGAGAGGCAGACGAGAACUCUGGCCCUCUAUACAAGCCAUUGAUAUGCAGCAUGGGGAUGUUUGCUGAAAAAGCUUUUAGUCGACUCCCCUCUUUGGAAAAGGUUGGGAGCCUCCUGUCUUACCAGCAUCCUCCAAUCACAAACGAGACACAUUGUUCACCAUAAGGAGAUACACCACCAUUCCCUUCACAGCCCCUGGAUGGCUACAGACUUGGAGAGCAACGUUCAAGGCUGUACAUUUGUGCUCGGUGAAGAAGUCCAGCUUCAACAUAGUCUCUUCAGGUGAGAGAAUACAUAGAGACCCAAGUGGUGUUCUCCCUAAUUAGAGAGAAGGGUGACUGGUACUAUUUAUAUAUGUGUACAUGCACAAGUUCUUAGGCAGGAAAGACUUAAUAACUACGGACAGGCUCCUUCUAAUCUUUCAAUUCAUGAACGAGAAACAAACCCAACAAAUCUAUCUGUGCAAUUCAUUUAAUAAAUCAUUUAAAAAAUAA
Long non-coding RNA from Salvelinus fontinalis (brook trout), 880 nucleotides. RefSeq lists it as uncharacterized. The transcript has 2 exons. The record is from RefSeq and is a predicted model, not a curated record. NCBI's taxonomy places the organism in Eukaryota, Metazoa, Chordata, Actinopteri, Salmoniformes, Salmonidae.